This 866-nucleotide ribosomal RNA is filed under the name Kocuria sp. Its description in RNAcentral is "bacterial SSU rRNA". It matches the Rfam family "Bacterial small subunit ribosomal RNA", at positions 663 to 1533 of the family's 1533-position model. The record is from RNAcentral. Lineage: Bacteria; Bacillati; Actinomycetota; Actinomycetes; Micrococcales; Micrococcaceae.
GGAUUUCCUGGUGUAAGCGGUGAAAUGCUGCAGAUAUCAGGACGGAACACCGAUGGCGAAGGCAGGUCUCUGUGUCUGUUACUGACGCUGAGGAGCGAAAGCAUGGGGAGCGAACAGGAUUAGAUACCCUGGUAGUCCAUGCCGUAAACGUUGGGCACUAGGUGUGGGGGACAUUCCACGUUUUCCGCGCCGUAGCUAACGCAUUAAGUGCCCCGCCUGGGGAGUACGGCCGCAAGGCUAAAACUCAAAGGAAUUGACGGGGGCCCGCACAAGCGGCGGAGCAUGCGGAUUAAUUCGAUGCAACGCGAAGAACCUUACCAAGGCUUGACAUUCACCGGACCGCCCCAGAGAUGGGGUUUCCCUUCGGGGCUGGUGGACAGGUGGUGCAUGGUUGUCGUCAGCUCGUGUCGUGAGAUGUUGGGUUAAGUCCCGCAACGAGCGCAACCCUCGUUCUAUGUUGCCAGCACGUGAUGGUGGGGACUCAUAGGAGACUGCCGGGGUCAACUCGGAGGAAGGUGGGGAUGACGUCAAAUCAUCAUGCCCCUUAUGUCUUGGGCUUCACGCAUGCUACAAUGGCCGGUACAAAGGGUUGCGAUACUGUGAGGUGGAGCUAAUCCCAAAAAGCCGGUCUCAGUUCGGAUUGAGGUCUGCAACUCGACCUCAUGAAGUCGGAGUCGCUAGUAAUCGCAGAUCAGCAACGCUGCGGUGAAUACGUUCCCGGGCCUUGUACACACCGCCCGUCAAGUCACGAAAGUUGGUAACACCCGAAGCCGGUGGCCUAACCCCUUGUGGGAGGGAGCCGUCGAAGGUGGGACUGGCGAUUGGGACUAAGUCGUAACAAGGUAACAUAGAACGAGGGUGCGCUC